GUCUCUUCCCGAAUUUCGUAAGAAAUUAAGAGUGAUCGGACUUUGGGGGGAGUAUGGUCGCAAGGCUGAAACUUAAAGGAAUUGACGGAAGAGCACCACAAGGUUGUGGAACUUGCGGUUUAAUUUGACUCAACACGGGAAAACUCACCAGGUCAGGACAUAAUAAGGAUUGACAGAUUAAUAGAUCUUUCAAAAUAUAUAAUAUUUAAAUUUUAUUGGAUUUAUUCAGUAAAAUUUAUUUUUUUGAUUUUAUGAUGAGUGGUGCAUGGCCGAUCUUAGUUCGUGGAAUGAUUUGUCUACUUAAUUGUGUUAACGAACGAGACCUUUAGAGAUAAAUAGUGAUUUUUGGAAGGUGUCAAAGCAAUUGAAAUGUCUUUAGAAGAAGGGCAUGUUUCCCCUUUUAAAUGUCAUCAUUUUAAUUGUAUCUUUCAUUGCUGAUCAGAAGAAAAGGGGAAAGUAUAGAUGUAAAAGUUUGUAUUUUUCUUUUUUAAUUUAUAAUACUUCUUAUUUCGACUAUUGGUGUAAAACCAAUGUAAGUUAAAGGUAAUAUCAGGUCUGUGAUGCCCUUAGAUGUUCUGGGCCACACGCGUGUUACAAUGGUAAAGAUCAAAGGGUAUUUAUUGAAUAGAAAGAGGGGAAGUAAAAUUCUUUAUUUUUUAUUUUUUUUUCGCUUAAUAGAAAUAUUUGGCUAAUCCUUUAUCGAAUCUUUUUAACCAUAUCUGGGAUAGAUGCUUGUAAUUUUUCAUCUUCAACUUGGAAUACCUAGUAAACAUAAUUCAACAAAUUAUGUUGAUUACGUCCCUGCUCUUUGUACACACCGCCCGUCGCUUCUACCGAUUGAAUUAUCCGAUGAGU
RNAcentral lists this ribosomal RNA (855 nucleotides) under Cochliopodium arabianum. RNAcentral's name for it is "partial 18S ribosomal RNA". It matches the Rfam family "Eukaryotic small subunit ribosomal RNA", at positions 1073 to 1706 of the family's 1831-position model. The record is from RNAcentral. Lineage: Eukaryota; Discosea; Himatismenida; Cochliopodiidae.